UAAUACGUAGGGUGCGAGCGUUGUCCGAAAUUAUUGGGCGUAAAGAGCUCGUAGGCGGCUUGUCGCGUCGGAUGUGAAAGCCCGGGGCUUAACCCUGGGUCUGCAUUCGAUACGGGCAGGCUAGAGUUCGGUAGGGGAGAUCGGAAUUCCUGGUGUAGCGGUGAAAUGCGCAGAUAUCAGGAGGAACACCGGUGGCGAAGGCGGAUCUCUGGGCCGAUACUGACGCUGAGGAGCGAAAGCAUGGGGAGCGAACAGG
Molecule: ribosomal RNA, 256 nt
Filed under: uncultured prokaryote
Description: partial 16S ribosomal RNA
Rfam family: Bacterial small subunit ribosomal RNA
Source: RNAcentral